This 390-nucleotide ribosomal RNA is filed under the name uncultured bacterium. RNAcentral's name for it is "bacterial SSU rRNA". It matches the Rfam family "Bacterial small subunit ribosomal RNA", at positions 30 to 419 of the family's 1533-position model. The record is from RNAcentral.
AUUGAACGCUGGCGGCAUGCCUUACACAUGCAAGUCGAACGGCAGCACGGGAGCAAUCCUGGUGGCGAGUGGCGAACGGGUGAGUAAUAUAUCGGAACGUGCCCAGUCGUGGGGAUAACGUAGCGAAAGCUACGCUAAUACCGCAUACUAUCUAUGGAUGAAAGCGGGGGAUCGCAAGACCUCGCGCGAUUGGAGCGGCCGAUAUCAGAUUAGGUAGUUGGUGAGGUAAAGGCUCACCAAGCCGACGAUCUGUAGCUGGUCUGAGAGGACGACCAGCCACACUGGGACUGAGACACGGCCCAGACUCCUACGGGAGGCAGCAGUGGGGAAUUUUGGGACAAAUGGGCGCAAGCCUGAUCCAGCAAUGCCGCGUGCAGGAUGAAGGCCUUC